UUCUUCAAUGGUGAUCCUCAUCCACAUCCAUUCAUAGAAUUGGUCCGUUUCACUUUUACUCAAAGGAAAGAAAAACAAAGUUUUUUCCAUAAAAUAAAGAAAUUUUUUAGUUAGAAAACAGUCUUCCCGGAAAGAAAAUCUUGCGAGAGAUUUUUUUUCUUUUUCUCGUAACCCUAAUAUUGUUUCCCACCGCCCACGACUCUCUUAUCCACCACCUUCCUUCUAUUCCAGAAGUUUAACAAAAGGUCGAUUUGAUUAUUUUGAUCAACUGGGUUUUUUUUAUCUGUGCAGGUAAAAUCUCACAUCUUCUUCUUCCUUUAUUUGGCAAUCCCACAUAUAUCCAGUAUCAUCAACAACAUCAGCUAAUUUCCAGUGAACACUAAGUAUACUUAGAUAAAUAGGGUUUCGUUGUCAUCAUCAUCAUCAUCAUCUCUAUUUUGCUAGAUGUUGUUAGGGUUCACUUUUUUAUUAGGGAUACUUAGAUAAAUAGUUUUGUGCCACUAAGUUUGCAGAGAGGUUGGAUUAAUCUUCAAGGUAAACUAUAAUCAAUUUUUGGUGUGUAGUUUUACUGUUUUUUUCUUUUUCAACUCAACUCUUUACUUUAGAGUGAUUUAUGUCAUUGUUAAUGGAUUAAUACAAAUCACAGUGCCCAGAUUCGAAGCAAAACCAAUUUGUUUUCCCAUACAUAUGAUUAUUGUCUCAAUCUUUAAACUUUGACUCUUAGGGUUUCUCCUAAUUUUUUUAGGGAUUUGAAACAUUUGAUUUGCAGAUGAGUUACUUAAUUGGAGAUGCCCGAAAAUUGUUGCCAAAUGUAUUUUAUCUCUAUCCAUUUAGUGGAUUACUAAUAAUGCUAAUGGUAAAAGCUCUUUUAUGCAAAUCAAAAGUGCUCCCAACGUAUGUUUGAUUAUUGAUAGUGACAGAUAAAGAAGAAAAAACUAACAACAUGUUGUUUUUGUUGCACUGUUUUAAUCAACACCAAAGUAGAGAGUUUUGAUUUAAAUUUUGUUUCAGUACAUUGGUUAUAAUAUUUACAGAAAACUAUAUUCAUGAAGGCACCAAUUCGGAUUCAUAUGCUAGACUUGGUAUGUAGUUCCUAAUAAUAUUGAAGCUCUUUAUGUUUAGAUGUGGAAAGUCAAAUUUGGUUUCACAGCUUCCAGACUAAUCGAUAAAUGAGUGCCAAUUUCCGUUUCAUAAUGCUUUGGGUGUGUUUUGUAGGGUACCCAAGCAUUUUGUAGUAUUGGAAAUCAGGCAUUAAGGUAGAGAUGGAUAUGUUGAUUUCCACAAUUUUGGACGCCAUAAUGUUUUGGAUCUUCAUGUAUAAAUUGAUGUUCUCUCAAUUCAACCUAUUUUUGUUCUUAAGCACCUUCUAAAUUCAAUUUUCUUAUGCUCUAUUUUUGUUCUUAAGGAAGUACAAACACGACAUCUCUCUUAGUCUGAAACAAUAAUGGUAUGCCUUACCUACUUUGUAUGUGAUUAUGAUUUAAACCAUUUUACUUUUUUACUAAAUGUUGUUUGGUUAUGCAGAUGGUAUCUACGAAUACACCUGACCAGUAUGAGUCAUCAUAAUUUUUUCUUGAUAAUGCCUGAAUUACUUUUAGCACUAACCGGUGACAGUGUUACCGUCAAGAGAAAUUACACUGACAUGCAGACUAUUAUUACUAUCUUGGUAAUAACAAUUUUCAAACCAAAACAAAACACAAUACCAUACACUAAUAUAUUAGUCAUUGCAAAUUCUCAAUUUUGUAAUCUAUUUCUGGCAUAUGUGAUCCAAUUAAACUUUCAUUUCGACUAAUUUGUUUUUCAAUAACCAAACAUUAUUACAAUCUUUGUCUAAUUUCUUUUCUUUUUAAUGAACUAUUUUUUUUUGCGGGGUGACAACAUUUUGAUGGAUUAUGUUUUUGCAUGUUUUAUGCAGGUUCUUUUGCUCGAGUAAGUGCUUGAGGCAACACUAUCUCUAGAAGGUUGCAUGCUUCUUCUCUUUAGACAAAUUGAACGCUGCCAAUGACUCUUAUUUCCAGAUUGGAAUAAAAAUCACAGGCACAACCAAGACCGUUCGUCCAUUCCUGGUUCGGCAAGACAAAACUGAAGGUACUACUCCCAAGGUUUCUUCUCUGUGAUCUUCUCCUCCCUUCUUAGUUCCAUCAUAGUCUUGAAAACCAGUGAAGAUACACACAUUUUUUGGCUAAAGAACUGGAUCUGAAGACAGGUUGUUAACAUUGUAGGUAUUAUUUUUUUUCUUGGAUGUUUAAACUUGUUAUUAAUGGUUUUGCAAGUUUUAUUUCUAGGUUGGUGCUCUGUAAUUGUUACUUUUUCUUUUUGAUUGCAAAUCUCUUUUCAGGGUAAUAAAAGCAGGGUAAUAAAAAGCAUAUUGUAUUACAAGUAUUGUUAGUACAACUUCUCUUCUUCCAUGUACACAAAAAAAUUUAUGAAUGUGAUAAUAAUACCUUGGUGUGUCAACACGAGUGGACUUGAAACGCCUAAACGAAAGAGAAUAAAUUCGUUUUGCUUCUUCCUCUUCACAAAACGGUCAAGGUGAACAUGAUGCGAUUCCUGGGGAUGAAGAAACUGAAAGGGUACACAAUUCAAAUGGUGUAGUCUGUCAAGGUGCAGUUACAGGACAGGGCGAGAGAAGCCGAGUCACACCAAAUCAAAUCGGGAUGAGGGAGGCUUCAAAUUGGGACGGGCGAGGCGAAGCCGAGCGUUAUCAAAUCAAAAUAUGGGAUGCAUAGCACGGGCAAACAAAAAUAUUAAUUCAAAUAGGGAUGGGGCGAGGCAGGCGAAGCCGAAGCCGAGCUUUACCAAUUCAAAUCGGGCGGGGCAAUGUGAAGCCGAAGGCGAACUAUAUAAAGUCAAAAAUAUGGUUCAUAGAACAAAAAUGCCCGAGCAUAGCACGGGCACAAAAUCUAGUACGAUGAUAAUUUAUUCUUCUGUAAGUCAAAAUCUCCGUUUUUUUAAAUAUGGGAUUAGCCAGACCUAACUCGCACGAGCAGACCUAGAUAGUUGGGCUGAUGCCAAUGUUGAUGGCAAUCCCCAAUUAU
Papaver somniferum (opium poppy) is the source of this 3038-nucleotide long non-coding RNA. RefSeq lists it as uncharacterized. Lineage: Eukaryota; Viridiplantae; Streptophyta; Magnoliopsida; Ranunculales; Papaveraceae. The record is from RefSeq and is a predicted model, not a curated record. The transcript is spliced from 4 exons.